RNAcentral lists this ribosomal RNA (497 nucleotides) under uncultured bacterium. RNAcentral's name for it is "partial 16S ribosomal RNA". It matches the Rfam family "Bacterial small subunit ribosomal RNA", at positions 28 to 507 of the family's 1533-position model. The record is from RNAcentral.
GACGAACGCUGGCGGCGUGCCUAAUACAUGCAAGUUGAGCGAUGAAGAUUGGUGCUUGCCCCAAUUUGAAGAGCAGCGAACGGGUGAGUAACGCGUGGGGAAUCUGCCUUUGAGCGGGGGACAACAUUUGGAAACGAAUGCUAAUACCGCAUAACUACUUUAAACAUAAGUUUUAAGUUUGAAAGAUGCAAUUGCAUCACUCAAAGAUGAUCCCGCGUUGUAUUAGCUAGUUGGUGAGGUAAAGGCUCACCAAGGCGAUGAUACAUAGCCGACCUGAGAGGGUGAUCGGCCACAGUGGGACUGAGACACGGCCCAAACUCCUACGGGAGGCAGCAGUAGGGAAUCUUCGGCAAUGGACGAAAGUCUGACCGAGCAACGCCGCGUGAGUGAAGAAGGGUUUCGGAUCGUAAAACUCUGUUGGUAGAGAAGAACGUUGGUGAGAGUGGAAAGCUCAUCAAGUGACGGUAACUACCCAGAAAGGGACGGCUAACUACGUG